Molecule: ribosomal RNA, 472 nt
Filed under: uncultured bacterium
Lineage: Bacteria
Description: bacterial SSU rRNA
Rfam family: Bacterial small subunit ribosomal RNA
Source: RNAcentral
AUUGAACGCUGGCGGCAUGCCUUACACAUGCAAGUCGAACGGCAGCACGGGAGCAAUCCUGGUGGCGAGUGGCGAACGGGUGAGUAAUAUAUCGGAACGUGCCCAGUCGUGGGGGAUAACGUAGCGAAAGCUACGCUAAUACCGCAUACGAUCUAUGGAUGAAAGCGGGGGAUCGCAAGACCUCGCGCGAUUGGAGCGGCCGAUAUCAGAUUAGGUAGUUGGUGGGGUAAAAGCCUACCAAGCCUUCGAUCUGUAGCUGGUCUGAGAGGAUGAUCCGCCACACUGGAACUGAGACACGGUCCAGACUCCUACGGGAGGCAGCAGUGGGGAAUUUUGGACAAUGGGCGCAAGCCUGAUCCAGCCAUGCCGCGUGAGUGAAGAAGGCCUCGGUUGUAAGACUCUUCGGUCCGGAGAAUACGCACAGGUAUAACCCUGUGUGGAUGACGGUACCGGAACGUAAGAAGACACCGGC